AAGCUCAGCCGCUUCUAAGCUAUGCUUCGUUCUUUGUCUCUAAGCUGAUGUUGUUUAUGGUCCUUCGCAGAAACCUGAACCUUCUGAUCAUUCUUCAUUGAACUUUGACUUCGGUUCCAGAAGUUUCUGGACGAUCAAGAUUACUUAUGUUAGGAGGAUUUUGUUUGGAUUUCGUUUCCAAGUACCAAGCUGGCAGCUUCCUGUUAUCCUCCGUCUCCUGAACCAAGGCAGAAGCGUACCCUGUCCACCCUCCAACGCAAGUACCUGAAAAUUGAAUUAACUCCUGAACUCACCAGAACUCAGUAAAACCAUCUGGAUUUCUCCGCUUUGCACACCUGGAUCCCGACUCCCUCUACCCCUGGCGACCUGACUACACUCACUUAUUGGCGAUUCUACCGUUCAUGUUCCAGUUUCACUUCUUUUGCAGAAAGUGAACCAGUAGAUUCAGUGUUGGGGCUUCUACCGCAUGGGUUGAAUGGCUCAGCCAAAUAUCAGAGCUAAUACGGACAGAUGUGGUUUAAUGGAGACAGCUCUGCAGGAGGAGAGGCAACAGUUCCAGGUUUGGAUGCAGUUUCCCAAAAGCUCCCAGUGAUCCUCUUCACCCUUGUGUCCUGCCAUCCUCUACUCCACUGUCUAUGCAUCUUAUACUUCUUAUAAAUAUUUGCUUACGAUUAGAUAGUCAAUGUAUCAAUUCCCUGUACUUCUGGACUGAUUGUUUUUUUUAUUCUAAUAAAUAACAUUUAUACUAGAAACAUUGUUCUGUUUGGGCUAUAGAUAUUUGACAUGAGUUUGCCUGAUGAUAAAAAGAAAAAUAAGUGUGUUAAUCAGUGUUUAGUAGUUAUGUAAAUUAAUUGUGCUGUUUUACCCAGAUGCAGGUUGGUAAAGAGUUUUAUGUAAAAUAAUUAUUUAACCCUUUCCUGCUUAUGGGUUUAGUGCAGCAUAAGGAAUAGUGGAAGGAAUUAUUCAACUGUUUAACUCCAAAGCUGCUCAUCAUCUACUAUUAUUAUCAGUUGAAACAAAAACAAAUUUAUUAGCUAAGAAUCUUUCAAAAGGAGUAGAGGAAGAAUUCCUUCUGUUGGACUGAAGGUGUAGAGCAGUUUUCACAACUUUCCCAGCCUGAUUUAAAUAAUUGGUCGGUGGCCUUUCUGAGCAAUGGAAACAGAAUGUACACAAUACCCUGGGAUUCCUUUUACCUGGUGUAAAACAAAUUUAAAUACUGGGCCUUCUGAGAAUACUGUUUUAUGCCUGUUUUAAACAUAAUAGAUGAGACAAAAAUAAUGAAAAUAUGCACAAAAACACAUUUUCUAUAUUAUUUUUUUCUGUUGGCAGAAAAAAUCUGAAAAUAUUUAAGAGUGUAAUUAAACCGAUUUUUAUUUGUUCGUUGUUUCUCAUGGUAAUGCAUUAAGGUUUACUAAGGUUGUUAACAUAAAAAAGCAGCCUUAUGAGUCUAUUUGUAAGGCAAUAUUCAUGCACUAGAUACACUAAAAAAUCUAAACUCAGACUGUUCAAUUGUUCAUACAUUCAAACACACCCAACAUGCACAUGUUUACAGUUUUUGUUAUAGGUGACAUUGAUAUUUGAAAUGUUAGUUGUGUGUUUUUAUUUUUAAAACAUAUUUAGUCUUCUUUUCCUAAUCUGUACAGAAGAAAAUAUGUGAUUUCUAUUAAAAAAAGAAACAUUUAAAAGUCUUAUGAAAAAUAACUGUCAGAAAGUUGGAAUGCUUGAAACCCAAUUUGUUUGAUUAAUGUUUUUCAAAUAUUGUCUCAACUUCUAAAUAAAAUGUAUCGUUAGGUUUUGCAGAGAUGUUAUUACAAUAACCAAAAGAUGCAAAUUAUUUUCCAUGCUAUUUGCUUUUUUACAAAGAAUGUGUAAAACAUAUUAAGCAUCAUAUUUACUGAAUACAAGAGUUUUUUGUGGAAAUCUUGUGGGUAUUAUGGGAUUGAUAAAUAAUGAAGCUUCAAGGUAAAACUUUCCUAUCUGAUAAACUGUUAUUAUAUAUAAGGUUUGCACAAUUUUCAGAUUAAUAUCCCUUUUUUAAUUGAAGCAUUUAUGUCUAUAAUUCUGUUUAUAUGUCACACAAAACAAUAAAAUUACCAAA
This is a long non-coding RNA of Girardinichthys multiradiatus, 2098 nucleotides long. RefSeq lists it as uncharacterized. The record is from RefSeq and is a predicted model, not a curated record. The transcript has 4 exons. Lineage: Eukaryota; Metazoa; Chordata; Actinopteri; Cyprinodontiformes; Goodeidae.